ACCAUGUGCCUGUAGCCCCAGCUACCUGGGAGGCUGAGGUGGGAGGACCACUUGAGCCUAGGAGUUCUGAACUGUCACACAUGAUGCCGAUGGGGUGUCUGUACUAAGUUCAGCAUCACUAUGGUGGCCUCCAUGUUGCCUAAGGAGGGGUGAACCAGCCCAGGUCAGAAGUGGAGCAGGCCAAAAUUCCUAUGCUGAUUAGUAGUGGGAGUGAGUAGCCACUGCAUUCUAGACUGGGCAACAUAGUCAAACCCCAUCUCUA
Pongo abelii (Sumatran orangutan) is the source of this 262-nucleotide unclassified non-coding RNA. It matches the Rfam family "Metazoan signal recognition particle RNA". Rfam says of the family: The signal recognition particle (SRP) is a universally conserved ribonucleoprotein. It is involved in the co-translational targeting of proteins to membranes. The record is from Ensembl. Lineage: Eukaryota; Metazoa; Chordata; Mammalia; Primates; Hominidae.